GAACGAUGACCCCCAGCUUGCUGGGGUGAUUAGUGGCGAACGGGUGAGUAACACGUGAGUAACCUGCCCCCGACUCUGGGAUAAGCCCGGGAAACUGGGUCUAAUACUGGAUAUGACCUUUGACCGCAUGGUCUUUGGUGGAAAGAUUUAUCGGUUGGGGAUGGACUCGCGGCCUAUCAGCUUGUUGGUGAGGUAAUGGCUCACCAAGGCGACGACGGGUAGCCGGCCUGAGAGGGUGACCGGCCACACUGGGACUGAGACACGGCCCAGACUCCUACGGGAGGCAGCAGUGGGGAAUAUUGCACAAUGGGCGAAAGCCUGAUGCAGCGACGCCGCGUGAGGGAUGACGGCCUUCGGGUUGUAAACCUCUUUCAGUAGGGAAGAAGCGAAAGUGACGGUACCUGCAGAAGAAGCGCCGGCUAACUACGUGCCAGCAGCCGCGGUAAUACGUAGGGCGCAAGCGUUAUCCGGAUUUAUUGGGCGUAAAGAGCUCGUAGGCGGUUUGUCGCGUCUGCCGUGAAAGUCCGAGGCUCAACCUCGGAUCUGCGGUGGGUACGGGCAGACUAGAGUGAUGUACGGGAGACUGGAAUUCCUGGGUG
This 599-nucleotide ribosomal RNA is filed under the name Arthrobacter sp. MYb221. RNAcentral describes it as "bacterial SSU rRNA". It matches the Rfam family "Bacterial small subunit ribosomal RNA", at positions 64 to 676 of the family's 1533-position model. The record is from RNAcentral. Lineage: Bacteria; Bacillati; Actinomycetota; Actinomycetes; Micrococcales; Micrococcaceae.